Molecule: ribosomal RNA, 908 nt
Filed under: uncultured bacterium
Lineage: Bacteria
Description: bacterial SSU rRNA
Rfam family: Bacterial small subunit ribosomal RNA
Source: RNAcentral
AGAGUUUGAUCCUGGCUCAGGAUGAACGCUGGCGGCGUGCCUAAUACAUGCAAGUCGAACGAAUCUCUUCGGAGAUGAGUGGCGAACGGGUGAGUAAUACAUAGGUAACCUGCCCCUGUGCGGGGGAUAACAGGAGGAAACUCCUGCUAAUACCGCAUAGCCAUGAGCACCGCAUGGAGCUCAUGCCAAAUAUCCUUUCGGGGAUAGCGCAGGGAUGGACCUAUGGCGCAUUAGCUUGUUGGCGGGGCAACGGCCCACCAAGGCAACGAUGCGUAGCCGGCCUGAGAGGGCGGACGGCCACAUUGGGACUGAGACACGGCCCAGACUCCUACGGGAGGCAGCAGUAGGGAAUUUUCGGCAAUGGGGGAAACCCUGACCGAGCAACGCCGCGUGAGCGAAGAAGGCCUUCGGGUCGUAAAGCUCUGUUGUAAAGGAAGAACGGCGCAUACAGGAAAUGGUAUGCGAGUGACGGUACUUUACCAGAAAGCCACGGCUAACUACGUGCCAGCAGCCGCGGUAAUACGUAGGUGGCGAGCGUUAUCCGGAAUCAUUGGGCGUAAAGAGGGAGCAGGCGGCCGCAAGGGUCUGUGGUGAAAGACCGAAGCUAAACUUCGGUAAGCCAUGGAAACCGGGCGGCUAGAGUGCGGAAGAGGAUCGUGGAAUUCCAUGUGUAGCGGUGAAAUGCGUAGAUAUAUGGAGGAACACCAGUGGCGAAGGCGACGGUCUGGGCCGCAACUGACGCUCAUUCCCGAAAGCGUGGGGAGCAAAUAGGAUUAGAUACCCUAGUAGUCCACGCCGUAAACGAUGGUCACUAAGUGUCGGGGGUCAAACCCCGGUGCUGCAGUCAACGCAAUAAGUGACCCGCCUGAGUAGUACGUUCGCAAGAAUGAAACUCAAAGGAAUUGACG